CAGCCGCGGUAAUACGGGAGUGGCAAGCGUUAUCCGGAAUUAUUGGGCGUAAAGCGUCCGCAGGCGGCCCUUCAAGUCUGCUGUUAAAAAGUGGAGCUUAACUCCAUCAUGGCAGUGGAAACUGUUGGGCUUGAGUGUGGUAGGGGCAGAGGGAAUUCCCGGUGUAGCGGUGAAAUGCGUAGAUAUCGGGAAGAACACCAGUGGCGAAGGCGCUCUGCUGGGCCAUCACUGACGCUCAUGGACGAAAGCCAGGGGAGCGAAAGGGAUUAGAUACCCCUGUAGUCCUGGCCGUAAACGAUGAACACUAGGUGUCGGGGGAAUCGACCCCCCUCGGUGUCGUAGCCAACGCGUUAAGUGUUUCCGCCUGGGGAGUACGCACGCAAGUGUGAAACUCAAAGGAAUUGACGGGGCCCGCACAAGCGGUGGAGUAUGUGGUUUAUUUCGAUGCAACGCGAAGAACCUUACCAGGGUUUGACAUCCUGCGAAUCUCUUGGAAACGAGAGAGUGCCUUCGGGAACGCAGUGACAGGUGGUGCAUGGCUGUCGUCAGCUCGUGUCGUGAGAUGUUGGGUUAAGUCCCGCAACGAGCGCAACCCACGUCUUUAGUUGCCAGCAUUGAGUUGGGCACUCUAGAGAGACCGCCGGUGAUAAACCGGAGGAAGGUGUGGAUGACGUCAAGUCAUCAUGCCCCUUACAUCCUGGGCUACACACGUACUACAAUGCUACGGACAAAGGGCAGCAAGUUCGCGAGGACAAGCAAAUCCCAUAAACCGUGGCUCAGUUCAGAUCGUAGGCUGCAACUCGCCUACGUGAAGGAGGAAUCGCUAGUAAUCGCAGGUCAGCAUACUGCGGUGAAUACGUUCCCGGGCCUUGUACACACCGCCCGUCACACCAUGGAAGUUGGCCACGCCCGAAGCCGUUACUCCAACCCUCGGGAGGAGGACGUCGAAGGUGGGGCUGAUGACUGGGGUGAAGUCGUAACAAGGUA
RNAcentral lists this ribosomal RNA (987 nucleotides) under uncultured bacterium. RNAcentral's name for it is "bacterial SSU rRNA". It matches the Rfam family "Bacterial small subunit ribosomal RNA", at positions 512 to 1498 of the family's 1533-position model. The record is from RNAcentral.